RNAcentral lists this long non-coding RNA (6469 nucleotides) under Populus tremula. RNAcentral's name for it is "long non-coding RNA (PTRE_LNC000578)". The record is from RNAcentral. Lineage: Eukaryota; Viridiplantae; Streptophyta; Magnoliopsida; Malpighiales; Salicaceae.
CAGAUAGAACUUGGGCUAACCCUAUAACAAGCUAGUAAACUCAAGAAGCUAGGUUUUUCAAAGCUACCUGAGAGCACUGUCUAAGCUUGCAACUUCUUGUCCUCAGAUUUCAGGUUUCUAUAACUGAAUCCUGAAAUCCUAACUGGCCGACUGCUAUCAGACACUUCCACCACCGAACAAAUUCUCGGUAGACGCCUGCUCCCUCCUUUCAGUUUCUUUUUCGGGGUUGUCAGUGCAGAUCCAAGAGUGGUUUUGGGUUGAUUACCAGUAGAAGCCAUGGCAGUAAUACGGGGCUGAGGCUUCUGCGAGCUUCCAUGGCUUAAUAUUUUUAAAUCAUUUUAAGGUGUUAAUAUGAAAAAUAAUUUUUUUAAAAUAAAAAAAUAUAUUAUUUUGAUGUCUUUUAAAAUAAAAAAACACUUUAAAAAACAACUAAUUUAUUCAAAAAACAUUUUAUAAAGUGGUUAUUAUGGUUUCAAAUAAAUUAUGGAUACAUGAUGUUUUUAGAAAAAUAUAUAUAAUUUUUGUUUUUUAUUUUGAAAAAAAAAAUUAUUAGCUUAUUUUUCUUUUUUAAUCUUACAUUUUUUUUAGUUUUUUUAUUUAAAAGAUUGUAAUAAAUUUUUGACAAGUGAGAUUUUGAUAAAAUAAAAAAUAAAAAAUUAAUUUGAAUUUUUCUUAUAAUUAUAAUAUUUUUAAUCUUUAAAAGUAAUUUUAAUUUGUAAUAAACUCCAGCUGCGUCAACUAUUCUCUAAUCAAAUUAUCAAAUUAAUAAAAAGGAAAGCAAUGGCUUCCAGUUUUGACAUCCAAGUUGGGCUUCUAUUUUUGACUGGAGAAGUUGAAAUGGGCCUAGCAUUGGACGUCGCUUGUUCGUGAUUAAAGACUUCUAAAGCUACGCUCCUUUAGAACUUUGUUGGGCCGAAGAUUGUUUUUUCCUUUUCUUUUUAUUUAUAUAUAAGAUUUUUUAUUUGCUUGUUUAUUUCUGGCAAUUAGAUGCAUAUAAUUAUGGUAGCCGGAAUUUUUCUUGGAGGUGUUGCAAAGUAUGAAGAGAAUAGUUGUUAGAUUUUAUUUGAAGAUUGAUUUGAAAAAUAUAUUUGGUUUAUUAGGUUAUUGAAUAGAUCACCGAAUCAAUUUAAUUAGGAUUGAUAAUUUUUAUCAAAAACAUCUCGGAUUUUUUUUUUCUAGUGUUAAUAUGAUUGAUCGGGUUAAUAACCUAGCAUUGUUAGCUAUAGAAAUAAUAAUGAGUAUCCAUAUGUCAAGUUCUACUAUAUUUAUAAUCUACAUAUUAUUUAAUAUUUAAGAAAUUUAGAUAUUUAUAUCAUAUUAAUUUGGUUUCAGACAUUCAUAUGAGUAUCAACUAUUUGAGUAUUAUUUAUUAUUCAAUAUAAAAUAAAAUAAUAAUAAUAAUAUAUUUUUAUAUUUUAAUUCAAAUCGGCUUGAGUCAAAAAAAAUUAUUUAUAUCAUUUUUUUUUUUUCAUUGCUUCAGUCCAUGACAACGACACGGUAGCUAGCUAUUUGCUAUUGCUAAUCUACAGUUCACAAGAUGUUGCUGUCUGGUCUUUACCGCAGGAGUCAGAUUUCACUGCGACAUGAUUGGUUGCUCUUCCUUUUGACCAGUCUCUGACAUAAACGUAGACAAAGACACAAAAACACUCCUCGUAAAUAGUUUAGAGUUCAUUAAAGUUUGACCUUGGAUUAGAUAUCUCCUUGGAAUGCGACAUAAUCCCACGUGAUGAUUCUUAAAUCAACCUAAAAAUAGCAUGAACUUUUAAUGCAAGGAUCCCCAGUUUCUAUCCACAAUUCCGGGGUUCGUUUCAAGGUCAGAUUAUUGAUUGUUUGUGUCAUCUUUGAAUCUGGCUGGCCUAAAAAAUCUUAGUUUCACAGGAUUGCCUUGCUUUUGAUCUUGGGUAUGAUCAUUUUUUUUUAUCUCCAUCUCCUAUGAUGCAUUUGAUUGUUUGCGGUUUGACGUGUAGGUUGUUGGGGUUCUUUUGUUUCAUUUGGGUUAUCUUGAUGAUAUUGAUAGUUUCUGAAAUCUGGAUAAAUCUAUCUAUCUGAUAUUGCGGUUCGUUUUGCUUUCUGCAUUUUACAUACAAAUAUACGUUUAAUAUCUAUUGUUGAUCAUGUUUGAUCCCUACCAUUUCCAGAUCCUAAUUGAGCAUGUUAAUAGGAACUUUGAUGAACUUAUUACCAUUGUUGCAGGUUGCUGGAUCCUUACUCAUUUUUGUCCAAGCUCAUGUUUGAUGAAUGCUAUCAGCUGCUAGAUUAUACCUCCUGCUUUCUUGGGAGCCAAAUAAACCAUUUCAGUUUCUUCCUUUUAACUCUUUUGGGAAGACAUUCGCUAAUCUGAUUUGUAGCUAUUCAGUUCUUCUUGUUAAUUCCUGUCUUGCAAUCAAAAACACAUCACUCUCAUCGUUGGGAUGAUAUGACGCUGCAGAGCAUUCUGCAUUUAAAUCUGCCAUCUAGUUUACUAAAGAUUUUGUUGUUUCUGUGUGUGUGUGUGUGUUUUAGCUCUCCACUUGUUGGCAUGGUCUCAAAACCAGAACUCUAGUGCUAAAAAUAUAUGCAGAUUCCUUCAACUAAGAAGUAUCACGUACAUGCAGGGUGUCUAUUGCAUAACAGGCUUGUGAAACUCUUUGGCUGCAAUUAUCCCAACAAGCUCUAAAGGCUAAUGUCAAAACACUAGUAGAUAGAGCUCAUACUUCUGGUUGAACAGAUAAAGAAACAUGGUUCAGAAACUAGAAGCUAUGAAGGGACAUGGAGGAUCUACCAGGGUGGGUACCACCGGAACAAUUGGUGCUCUGAUAACAAGGGAGCUGGAAUCAAUUAAACCCUCCCCACAAGCAUCAGCAUCUGUUCAAGCUAAGCCUGGAACUAUUCUUGUUUCGGUUCCCUGCAGUGCAACUACUCCUAGAAAACUACAAGCAAGAAAAUCAUUAGAUGAAGCAAGCAGCAGCGGCCAGAAUCGCAGAAGCCCUGAAACUCGUCAGAAAAUGAAAAGCUUCAAUAAAAGCACUCAUCAUAUUCCGAUGUUUGGCUCUGAUAGUAUUAUUUUGGAUAGAACACCAAGUAGGGAGAAAUCUGACAAGAAAGCAACUAAAAAUGUGGAAAUGGUGGACAUAAGAUGUGGUAGUCCAGAUAGAACUUGGGCUAACCCUAUAACAAGUAAACUCAAGAAGCUAGGUUUUUCAAAGCUACCUGAGAGCACUGUCUAAGCUUGCAACUUCUUGUCCUCAGAUUUCAGGUUUCUAUAACUGAAUCCUGAAAUCCUAACUGGCCGACUGCUAUCAGACACUUCCACCACCGAACAAAUUCUCGGUAGACGCCUGCUCCCUCCUUUCAGUUUCUUUUUCGGGGUUGUCAGUGCAGAUCCAAGAGUGGUUUUGGGUUGAUUACCAGUAGAAGCCAUGGCAGUAAUACGGGGCUGAGGCUUCUGCGAGCUUCCAUGGCUUAAUAUUUUUAAAUCAUUUUAAGGUGUUAAUAUGAAAAAUAAUUUUUUUAAAAUAAAAAAAUAUAUUAUUUUGAUGUCUUUUAAAAUAAAAAAACACUUUAAAAAACAACUAAUUUAUUCAAAAAACAUUUUAUAAAGUGGUUAUUAUGGUUUCAAAUAAAUUAUGGAUACAUGAUGUUUUUAGAAAAAUAUAUAUAAUUUUUGUUUUUUAUUUUGAAAAAAAAAAUUAUUAGCUUAUUUUUCUUUUUUAAUCUUACAUUUUUUUUAGUUUUUUUAUUUAAAAGAUUGUAAUAAAUUUUUGACAAGUGAGAUUUUGAUAAAAUAAAAAAUAAAAAAUUAAUUUGAAUUUUUCUUAUAAUUAUAAUAUUUUUAAUCUUUAAAAGUAAUUUUAAUUUGUAAUAAACUCCAGCUGCGUCAACUAUUCUCUAAUCAAAUUAUCAAAUUAAUAAAAAGGAAAGCAAUGGCUUCCAGUUUUGACAUCCAAGUUGGGCUUCUAUUUUUGACUGGAGAAGUUGAAAUGGGCCUAGCAUUGGACGUCGCUUGUUCGUGAUUAAAGACUUCUAAAGCUACGCUCCUUUAGAACUUUGUUGGGCCGAAGAUUGUUUUUUCCUUUUCUUUUUAUUUAUAUAUAAGAUUUUUUAUUUGCUUGUUUAUUUCUGGCAAUUAGAUGCAUAUAAUUAUGGUAGCCGGAAUUUUCUUGGAGGUGUUGCAAAGUAUGAAGAGAAUAGUUGUUAGAUUUUAUUUGAAGAUUGAUUUGAAAAUAUAUUUGGUUUAUUAGGUUAUUGAAUAGAUCACCGAAUCAAUUUAAUUAGGAUUGAUAAUUUUUAUCAAAAACAUCUCGGAUUUUUUUUUCUAGUGUUAAUAUGAUUGAUCGGGUUAAUAACCUAGCAUUGUUAGCUAUAGAAAUAAUAAUGAGUAUCCAUAUGUCAAGUUCUACUAUAUUUAUAAUCUACAUAUUAUUUAAUAUUUAAGAAAUUUAGAUAUUUAUAUCAUAUUAAUUUGGUUUCAGACAUUCAUAUGAGUAUCAACUAUUUGAGUAUUAUUUAUUAUUCAAUAUAAAAUAAAAUAAUAAUAAUAAUAUAUUUUUAUAUUUUAAUUCAAAUCGGCUUGAGUCAAAAAAAAUUAUUUAUAUCAUUUUUUUUUUUCAUUGCUUCAGUCCAUGACAACGACACGGUAGCUAGCUAUUUGCUAUUGCUAAUCUACAGUUCACAAGAUGUUGCUGUCUGGUCUUUACCGCAGGAGUCAGAUUUCACUGCGACAUGAUUGGUUGCUCUUCCUUUUGACCAGUCUCUGACAUAAACGUAGACAAAGACACAAAAACACUCCUCGUAAAUAGUUUAGAGUUCAUUAAAGUUUGACCUUGGAUUAGAUAUCUCCUUGGAAUGCGACAUAAUCCCACGUGAUGAUUCUUAAAUCAACCUAAAAAUAGCAUGAACUUUUAAUGCAAGGAUCCCCAGUUUCUAUCCACAAUUCCGGGGUUCGUUUCAAGGUCAGAUUAUUGAUUGUUUGUGUCAUCUUUGAAUCUGGCUGGCCUAAAAAAUCUUAGUUUCACAGGAUUGCCUUGCUUUUGAUCUUGGGUAUGAUCAUUUUUUUUAUAUCUCCAUCUCCUAUGAUGCAUUUGAUUGUUUGCGGUUUGACGUGUAGGUUGUUGGGGUUCUUUUGUUUCAUUUGGGUUAUCUUGAUGAUAUUGAUAGUUUCUGAAAUCUGGAUAAAUCUAUCUAUCUGAUAUUGCGGUUCGUUUUGCUUUCUGCAUUUUACAUACAAAUAUACGUUUAAUAUCUAUUGUUGAUCAUGUUUGAUCCCUACCAUUUCCAGAUCCUAAUUGAGCAUGUUAAUAGGAACUUUGAUGAACUUAUUACCAUUGUUGCAGGUUGCUGGAUCCUUACUCAUUUUUGUCCAAGCUCAUGUUUGAUGAAUGCUAUCAGCUGCUAGAUUAUACCUCCUGCUUUCUUGGGAGCCAAAUAAACCAUUUCAGUUUCUUCCUUUUAACUCUUUUGGGAAGACAUUCGCUAAUCUGAUUUGUAGCUAUUCAGUUCUUCUUGUUAAUUCCUGUCUUGCAAUAUUUGUUUCGAUCAAAAACACAUCACUCUCAUCGUUGGGAUGAUAUGACGCUGCAGAGCAUUCUGCAUUUAAAUCUGCCAUCUAGUUUACUAGAGAUUUUGUUGUUUCUGUGUGUGUGUGUGUGUUUUAGCUCUCCACUUGUUGGCAUGGUCUCAAAACCAGAACUCUAGUGCUAAAAAUAUAUGCAGAUUCCUUCAACUAAGAAGUAUCACGUACAUGCAGGGUGUCUAUUGCAUAACAGGCUUGUGAAACUCUUUGGCUGCAAUUAUCCCAACAAGCUCUAAAGGCUAAUGUCAAAACACUAGUAGAUAGAGCUCAUACUUCUGGUUGAACAGAUAAAGAAACAUGGUUCAGAAACUAGAAGCUAUGAAGGGACAUGGAGGAUCUACCAGGGUGGGUACCACCGGAACAAUUGGUGCUCUGAUAACAAGGGAGCUGGAAUCAAUUAAACCCUCCCCACAAGCAUCAGCAUCUGUUCAAGCUAAGCCUGGAACUAUUCUUGUUUCGGUUCCCUGCAGUGCAACUACUCCUAGAAAACUACAAGCAAGAAAAUCAUUAGAUGAAGCAAGCAGCAGCGGCCAGAAUCGCAGAAGCCCUGAAACUCGUCAGAAAAUGAAAAGCUUCAAUAAAAGCACUCAUCAUAUUCCGAUGUUUGGCUCUGAUAGUAUUAUUUUGGAUAGAACACCAAGUAGGGAGAAAUCUGACAAGAAAGCAACUAAAAAUGUGGAAAUGGUGGACAUAAGAUGUGGUAGUCCAGAUAGAACUUGGGCUAACCCUAUAACAAGUAAACUCAAGAAGCUAGGUUUUUCAAAGCUACCUGAGAUCGAGCACUGUCUAAGCUUGCAACUUCUUGUCCUCAGAUUUCAGGUUUCUAUAACUGAAUCCCGAAAUCCUAACUGGCCGACUGCUAUCAGACACUUCCACCACCGAACAAAUUCUCGGUAGACGCCUGCUUCCUCCUUUCAG